RNAcentral lists this ribosomal RNA (1908 nucleotides) under Triticum aestivum (bread wheat). RNAcentral describes it as "partial small subunit ribosomal RNA". Lineage: Eukaryota; Viridiplantae; Streptophyta; Magnoliopsida; Poales; Poaceae. The record is from RNAcentral.
UACUGAACCGAAGUACUUCCGGGUUAAUUGACAAAUCUAAAAGUGGGGGUGCUCAAGAAUGACCGGUGUCCAAGUCGACUAUUUUGACAAUUUAAAACCCUGGAACUCUGAAAACUCAACUAACCUAGAAGACCUGGCCUCUUAACAGCCCUUAUGAUAUACGGCCGAUCACAUCAAGCAAGAUACUGUAAGUUGUCACUACAGUUUCGUGAAAAAACACCUAAUGUACUUUCGAACUUCCAAGAAAGUACCCUUGGAUAGUAUACAGUACUACGUCAACUACAACCGACCAGUUGUAAUCGUCUAGAUUUACAUGUUCUCCCUUUUGAAGAACCAACGAGUAUAUUGGUUUCAACACACCCUUAUACCCAACACCUGAACUACUUUAAACUAGGUAUGUGACAGCCAUCACGCCUUCGUAAAACCUUACCUUGACCAUUACCCGGUAAUGUUCGACUAUUAUCGUAUAGUAGUUACGACCCUUCAAAUAGCUAAAGGUCUUCUGGUCUUCGGUUACUUUGUAGGUCAUGUAACGAAUUCGCGGGCUACAGACGCAGCUUUCUUCGAAGACAUGGUCGAAGAAGACGUCACUCCUUCUCUAAUAGUUUUCGUGGACCUUAUUUAUUAGAAGCCGACUGUUCUCGACUUAGACGUGGAGAAGAAAGAGGAGCCCAAUCUAACUUCGGUUUAAGAUGACUGGUGGUCUUCUCUGUGUAUCGAUUACAAGCGAAGUUUCACCUAGAGAGAUGUUCACGGUCUUACUAGGGACCAUUGAGUGUACGAAGACGACGAGGGUGUAUAUAUGGAUCCAGGUUAUAUAAACGUACAUCAUCACUUCCUAGGUGAAAGCACGGACCAUAACAGGGUUCCGUACAAAGAUUUCACCUACGACCAAGGUUAGAGUCACUUCGGCGGCGGCGGCGGUAUUUCGGACUUGUUAAUGAUUUUCCAGUAGACCGACACCUAGUACUGUUUCUACAAGUAGCAAGGCAUAAAGUCAGUUUCGGUUAAUGAAGUUUUUGAGGUGUUUCCUUUAAAUAUUCUCUUUGUAGUUCACUACCCCUGUAAUUGACAAAACCCGGUAACACGUGACUUUCACAAGUCAGAUUGUUUCAACUAUUGACCAUACUACAAACACCAAAGUUUCUUUGUUUUAGUCGUCAACCUUCCUUAGGUGUUAAACACUUACAAUUGUCUUGUCAUCACAAACCUAGCUCGGUUGACCACCUUAGUUCACUCUCGUCGUAUUACGUUUUAGCUCCUUGCCCUGUAAAUAAACGCUCAAUGCUCUCUUCGCUCAUGCGUGGUUGUAGUCUACCGAACUCUGUUAGAAGUAAACGACCUCUUGCGUCACGUAGCCGAUUACUACUGCUAGAAUAUCGACUGGAUUACGUUUUGGUAGUUCUUAAGUAAGUACCGCACUUCAGCGCCGACUGUUUUGAUCUCGAACACAUGGCGACAACCGUUUUAUUACUAUAGUUCCCGAGACAGUCACGAUACGCUUCUUACAGCCUAGUACGACAAUGACGACUAUAUUAAUUACAAGAAUAAUACCUUUUCUCAUGGUUCAUAUAAUGUGAUCUGUAAACGUGAAGACAAAAUGGAGAGCGGAGGUUAGAAGAACUUUCGCCUAUACUGUCUGUAAACUUGCAACGGAACCGCUGCUAGGAAUUCGAACAGUUUUCGAAGGCACGUAGUUAGAAAAGAUAAAACAGCAGACGAGGUGGUCAGCCACAUCUGGAGCUUCGUCUCGUGACCAACCUUGCGACGUCAAGUACGAAAGUUCUCGACCUAUUCUAUUUACGUUCAGAGUAGAGGAACUGUUCCGCUCUUCCGUUCCAACCCUCUAGUCGUGCCCUCGACUCGGAGGAGGAAGUACUAUAGAAGUUCUGCGGUUCGUGCUACAUC